RNAcentral lists this ribosomal RNA (499 nucleotides) under uncultured Glomeromycotina. Its description in RNAcentral is "SSU rRNA". It matches the Rfam family "Eukaryotic small subunit ribosomal RNA", at positions 591 to 1092 of the family's 1831-position model. Lineage: Eukaryota; Fungi; Glomeromycota. The record is from RNAcentral.
CCAAUAGCGUAUAUUAAAGUUGUUGCAGUUAAAAAGCUCGUAGUUGAAUUUCGGGAUUAAUUUAUUGGUCGUGCAAUAGUACGUACUGGUAUUAUUGAUUCCUACCUUCUGACGAACCAUGAUGUCAUUAAUUUGGUGUCAUGGGGAAUCAGGACUGUUACUUUGAAAAAAUUAGAGUGUUUAAAGCAGGCUCACGCUUGAAUACAUUAGCAUGGAAUAACGAAAUAGGACGUUUGAUUCUAUUUUGUUGGUUUCUAGGAUCGACGUAAUGAUUAAUAGGGAUAGUUGGGGGCAUUAGUAUUCAAUUGUCAGAGGUGAAAUUCUUGGAUUUAUUGAAGACUAACUACUGCGAAAGCAUUUGCCAAGGAUGUUUUCAUUAAUCAAGAACGAAAGUUAGGGGAUCGAAGACGAUCAGAUACCGUCGUAGUCUUAACCAUAAACUAUGCCGACUAGGGAUCGGAUGAUGUUAAUUUUUUAAUGACUCAUUCGGCGCCUUACA